Molecule: non-coding RNA, 114 nt
Organism: Oreochromis niloticus (Nile tilapia)
Lineage: Eukaryota; Metazoa; Chordata; Actinopteri; Cichliformes; Cichlidae
Source: Rfam
GUAGGCUAUGGUGACAUGUACCCAGCAACAGUGUGGGGCAAGAUGGUGGGCUCUAUGUGCGCCAUUGCUGGUGUUCUUACCAUUUCGUUGCCUGUUCCUGUCAUUGUGUCCAAC